Molecule: long non-coding RNA, 240 nt
Organism: Carassius auratus (goldfish)
Lineage: Eukaryota; Metazoa; Chordata; Actinopteri; Cypriniformes; Cyprinidae
Exons: 3
Source: RefSeq, a predicted model, not a curated record
CUGCGCCACGCUGCCCCGGCCGCCCAGCUCCAGACACAUUCUUCAGCUCUGAUCUCUGGCUCUCGGCUGUGUUUCUGCGUGAGGUUUCUAGCCGUGGUGUUUUUAACUCCAUGGUGGGCUGACCUGACCUCACACUGAACUGGAUUUCUGAGAGGAUCGGAUGUUCUCGAGUCUCCAGGAGGGCAGUCGGCCGGCAGACGGACUGGCUCCACGCUAGACUGGGCAUCCGUACACAGUCAA